RNAcentral lists this ribosomal RNA (502 nucleotides) under uncultured bacterium. RNAcentral's name for it is "partial 16S ribosomal RNA". It matches the Rfam family "Bacterial small subunit ribosomal RNA", at positions 30 to 523 of the family's 1533-position model. The record is from RNAcentral.
AUUGAACGCUGGCGGCAGGCUUAACACAUGCAAGUCGAGCGGGGUGAUGGUGCUUGCACUAUCACUUAGCGGCGGACGGGUGAGUAAUGCUUAGGAAUCUGCCUAUUAGUGGGGGACAACAUCUCGAAAGGGAUGCUAAUACCGCAUACGUCCUACGGGAGAAAGCAGGGGAUCACUUGUGACCUUGCGCUAAUAGAUGAGCCUAAGUCGGAUUAGCUAGUUGGUGGGGUAAAGGCCUACCAAGGCGACGAUCUGUAGCGGGUCUGAGAGGAUGAUCCGCCACACUGGGACUGGGACACGGCCCAGACUCCUACGGGAGGCAGCAGUGGGGAAUAUUGGACAAUGGGGGGAACCCUGAUCCAGCCAUGCCGCGUGUGUGAAGAAGGCCUAUGGUUGUAAAGCACUUUAAGCGAGGAGGAGGCUCUUUUGGUUAAUACCCAGAAUGAGUGGACGUUACUCGCAGAAUAAGCACCGGCUAACUCUGUGCCAGCAGCCGCAGUAA